Molecule: ribosomal RNA, 809 nt
Filed under: uncultured bacterium
Lineage: Bacteria
Description: bacterial SSU rRNA
Rfam family: Bacterial small subunit ribosomal RNA
Source: RNAcentral
AGAGUUUGAUCCUGGCUCAGAACGAACGCUGGCGGCGUGCUUAACACAUGCAAGUCGAACGCGAAAGGGACUUCGGUCCUGAGUAGAGUGGCGCACGGGUGAGUAACGCGUAGAUAAUCUGUCCUUGUGUCUGGAAUAAUACGUCGAAAGGUGUACUAAUACCGGAUAUUCUUGCUUUUCAUAAGUUAGGUGAGCAAAGGUGGCCUCUGACAUAAGCUACUGCACAAGGAGGAGUCUGCGUACCAUUAGCUAGUAGGUGGGGUAAUGGCCUACCUAGGCUUCGAUGGUUAACGGGUCUGAGAGGAUGAUCCGUCACACUGGCACUGGAACACGGGCCAGACUCCUACGGGAGGCAGCAGUGAGGAAUAUUGCGCAAUGGGGGCAACCCUGACGCAGCGACGCCGCGUGAGUGAGGAAGGCCUUCGGGUCGUAAAGCUCUGUCAAAGGGAAAGAAGUGCAUGUUGGUUAAUACCCAUCAUGUUUGACGGUACCCUUAAAGGAAGCACCGGCUAACUCCGUGCCAGCAGCCGCGGUAAUACGGAGGGUGCAAGCGUUGUUCGGAAUCACUGGGCGUAAAGGGCGCGUAGGCGGUUUGUUAAGUCAGAUGUGUAAUCCCCGAGCUCAACUUGGGAACUGCAUCUGAGACUGGCAGGCUAGAGUACUGGAGAGGGUGGUGGAAUUCCUCGUGUAGCGGUGAAAUGCGUAGAGAUGAGGAGGAACACCAGUGGCGAAGGCGGCCACCUGGACAGUAACUGACGCUGAGGCGCGAAAGUGUGGGUAGCAAACAGGAUUAGAUACCCUGGUAGUCC